Molecule: ribosomal RNA, 497 nt
Filed under: uncultured bacterium
Lineage: Bacteria
Description: partial 16S ribosomal RNA
Rfam family: Bacterial small subunit ribosomal RNA
Source: RNAcentral
GAUGAACGCUGGCGGCGUGCCUAAUACAUGCAAGUCGAGCGAACGGACGAUAAGCUCGCUUCUCUGCUGUUAGCGGCGGACGGACGGGUAACACGUGGAUAACCUUCCUAUUAUACUGGGAUAACUUCGGGAAACCGUAUCUACUACCGGCUCAUAUUUUCAACCGCAUGGUUCAAAAGUGCAUGACGGUCUUGCUGUCACUUAUAGAUGGUUCCGCGCUGCAUUAGCUAGUUGGUAAGGUAACGGCCUACCAAGGCAACGAUGCAUAGCCGACCUGAGAGGGUGAUCGGCCACACUGGAACUGAGACACGGUCCAGACUCCUACGGGAGGCAGCAGUAGGGAAUCUUCCGCAAUGGGCGAAAGCCUGACGGAGCAACGCCGCGUGGGUGAUGAAGGUCUUCGGAUCGUAAAACUCUGUUAUUAGGGAAGAACAUAUGUGUAAGUAACUGUGCACAUCUUGACGGUACCUAAUCAGAAAGCCACGACUAACUACGUG